GUUUUGAUGUUGCUUCUUCUAGUUGUACUUUAUUAGCCGGUGGAAAUGUAGUUUGCUUGGGGUAUUUGGUUUUUGUUUUGUUCCUGCUUUUUUGUUUUUGUUUCUGAGUUUUUGUAUUCCUUGUGUCUCUAACCCGAGACUCUUUUUAUUUUUGGCCUUUGUGCCUCUCCUUUUGUAUAUUAUAUUUUGGUUUGUCUUUAAGAAAAUGAAUUAUUGAUUUUAUACUAACCAUAUUUAAGUCUUCGGUAACAUCAUUCGUG
This 260-nucleotide long non-coding RNA is filed under the name Lathyrus oleraceus (garden pea). RNAcentral describes it as "Pisum sativum (pea) long non-coding RNA (PSAT_LNC026344)". The record is from RNAcentral. Lineage: Eukaryota; Viridiplantae; Streptophyta; Magnoliopsida; Fabales; Fabaceae.